GAUGAACGCUGGCGGCGUGCCUAAUACAUGCAAGUCGAGCGAAUGGAUUAAGAGCUUGCUCUUAUGAAGUUAGCGGCGGACGGGUGAGUAACACGUGGGUAACCUGCCCAUAAGACUGGGAUAACUCCGGGAAACCGGGGCUAAUACCGGAUAACAUUUUGAACCGCAUGGUUCGAAAUUGAAAGGCGGCUUCGGCUGUCACUUAUGGAUGGACCCGCGUCGCAUUAGCUAGUUGGUGAGGUAACGGCUCACCAAGGCAACGAUGCGUAGCCGACCUAGGAGGGUGAUCGGCCACACUGGGACUGAGCCACGGCCCAGACUCCUACGGGAGGAAGCAGUAGGGAAUCUUCCGCAAUGGACGAAAGUCUGACGGAGCAACGCCGCGUGAGUGAUGAAGGCUUUCGGGUCGUAAAACUCUGUUGUUAGGGAAGAACAAGUGCUAGUUGAAUAAGCUGGCACCUUGACGGUACCUAACCAGAAAGCCACGGCUAACUACGUGCCAGCAGCCGCCGUAA
Molecule: ribosomal RNA, 515 nt
Filed under: uncultured bacterium
Lineage: Bacteria
Description: partial 16S ribosomal RNA
Rfam family: Bacterial small subunit ribosomal RNA
Source: RNAcentral